Molecule: ribosomal RNA, 335 nt
Filed under: uncultured bacterium
Lineage: Bacteria
Description: bacterial SSU rRNA
Rfam family: Bacterial small subunit ribosomal RNA
Source: RNAcentral
AGAGUUCGAUUCUGGCUCAGGACGAACGCUGGCGGCGUGCUUAACACAUGCAAGUCGAACGGGGUUACCGGAGGAGUAAUCUGAGGGUAACCUAGUGGCGGACGGGUGCGUAACGCGUGAACAAUCUGUCUUUGCGAGGGGGAUAACAUCUGGAAACAGAUGCUAAUACCGCAUGAGACCACAGCACUGCAUGGUGCAGGGGUCAAAGGAGGAAUCCGCGCAGAGGUGAGUUCGCGUCCUAUUAGAUAGUUGGUGAGGUAACGGCCCACCAAGUCGACGAUAGGUAGCCGAUCUGAGAGGAUGACCGGCCACACUGGAACUGAGAGACGGUCCAG